RNAcentral lists this ribosomal RNA (747 nucleotides) under uncultured Pasteurellales bacterium. RNAcentral's name for it is "bacterial SSU rRNA". It matches the Rfam family "Bacterial small subunit ribosomal RNA", at positions 44 to 780 of the family's 1533-position model. Lineage: Bacteria; Pseudomonadati; Pseudomonadota; Gammaproteobacteria; Pasteurellales. The record is from RNAcentral.
AGGCUUAACACAUGCAAGUCGAACGGUAACAGGGAUUAGCUUGCUAAUCUGCUGACGAGUGGCGGACGGGUGAGUAAUGCUUGGGAAUCUGGCUUAUGGAGGGGGAUAACUACGGGAAACUGUGGCUAAUACCGCGUAAAAUCUUCGGAUUAAAGGGUGGGACUUUCGGGCCACCUGCCAUAAGAUGAGCCCAAGUGGGAUUAGGUAGUUGGUUAGGUAAAGGCUGACCAAGCCGACGAUCUCUAGCUGGUCUGAGAGGAUGACCAGCCACACUGGAACUGAGACACGGUCCAGACUCCUACGGGAGGCAGCAGUGGGGAAUAUUGCACAAUGGGGGGAACCCUGAUGCAGCCAUGCCGCGUGAAUGAAGAAGGCCUUCGGGUUGUAAAGUUCUUUCGGUGACGAGGAAGGUUGAUAGGUUAAUAGCCUAUCAAAUUGACGUUAAUCACAGAAGAAGCACCGGCUAACUCCGUGCCAGCAGCCGCGGUAAUACGGGGGGUGCGAGCGUUAAUCGGAAUAACUGGGCGUAAAGGGCACGCAGGCGGUGACUUAAGUGAGAUGUGAAAGCCCCGAGCUUAACUUGGGAAUUGCAUUUCAUACUGGGUCGCUAGAGUACUUUAGGGAGGGGUAGAAUUCCACGUGUAGCGGUGAAAUGCGUAGAGAUGUGGAGGAAUACCGAAGGCGAAGGCAGCCCCUCGGGAAUGUACUGACGCUCAUGUGCGGAAGCGUGGGGAGCAAACAGGAUUA